GACGAACCGUGCGAACGUUGUUCGGAAUCACUGGGCUUAAAGGGCGCGUAGGCGGUCUGCCAAGUCCGGGGUGAAAGCCCCCAGCUCAACUGGGGAAGUGCCUCGGAUACUGGCGGACUUGAGGGAGGCAGGGGUUGUGGGAACUUCCGGUGGAGCGGUGAAAUGCGUUGAUAUCGGAAGGAACGCCGGUGGCGAAAGCGCACAACUGGUCCUCUUCUGACGCUGAGGCGCGAAAGCCAGGGGAGCAAACGGG
This 253-nucleotide ribosomal RNA is filed under the name uncultured bacterium. Its description in RNAcentral is "partial 16S ribosomal RNA". It matches the Rfam family "Bacterial small subunit ribosomal RNA", at positions 524 to 776 of the family's 1533-position model. The record is from RNAcentral.